GUUCUGGCAUGGGAAUAUCCAUAAACUACAUCUAAACUAUACAAUUAGUUUUAUAAUGGGUCAAUAAAGGACUUAUUGGAAACAACUAAGAAAAUACCCAAUAUCACCUGCAACCGUAGAAGAACGAACAGAAGUACUUGAAUAUUAAACAGACAAUAUCCAAAGUUGAAAUACAUCGGAAGCUACAGCGAGAGGCUUGCAACCAAAAUGAAGUGGCGACAGAGGGCUUGGAGAGUUCCUCCCCCUCCUCUCCAAUAAGAUAAUUUGUUUCGACGUGUCCACAUCUUAUCCUUCGACUUAACGAAUCAUCUGCUCAACCUAGAUGGUCUCCGAAGUCAAGCACUCCCUCAACUCAGCUGGUCUUUGGACUUAACUUCCCGUA
RNAcentral lists this long non-coding RNA (382 nucleotides) under Limulus polyphemus (Atlantic horseshoe crab). Its description in RNAcentral is "uncharacterized LOC111083129, transcript variant X2". The record is from RNAcentral. Lineage: Eukaryota; Metazoa; Arthropoda; Merostomata; Xiphosura; Limulidae.